Molecule: ribosomal RNA, 503 nt
Filed under: uncultured bacterium
Lineage: Bacteria
Description: partial 16S ribosomal RNA
Rfam family: Bacterial small subunit ribosomal RNA
Source: RNAcentral
AUUGAACGCUGGCGGCAUGCUUUACACAUGCAAGUCGAGCGGGGUGAUGGUGCUUGCACUAUCACUUAGCGGCGGACGGGUGAGUAAUGCUUAGGAAUCUGCCUAUUAGUGGGGGACAACAUCUCGAAAGGGAUGCUAAUACCGCAUACGUCCUACGGGAGAAAGCAGGGGAUCACUUGUGACCUUGCGCUAAUAGAUGAGCCUAAGUCGGAUUAGCUAGUUGGUGGGGUAAAGGCCUACCAAGGCGACGAUCUGUAGCGGGUCUGAGAGGAUGAGCCGCCACACUGGGACUGAGACACGGCCCAGACUCCUCCGGGAGGCAGCAGUGGGGAAUAUAGGACAAUGGGGGGAACCCUGAUCCAGCCAUGCCGCGUGUGUGAAGAAGGCCUUAUGGUUGUAAAGCACUUUAAGCGAGGAGGAGGCUCUUUUGGUUAAUACCCAAGAUGAGUGGACGUUACUCGCAGAAUAAGCACCGGCUAACUCUGUGCCAGCAGCCGCCGUAA